This 312-nucleotide ribosomal RNA is filed under the name uncultured bacterium. RNAcentral's name for it is "bacterial SSU rRNA". It matches the Rfam family "Bacterial small subunit ribosomal RNA", at positions 28 to 350 of the family's 1533-position model. The record is from RNAcentral.
GAUAAACGCUGGCGGCGUGCCUAACACAUGCAAGUCGAACGCCCUUUUGCGCAAGUGAGAAGGAGUGGCGGACGGGUGAGUACCACGUGGGUACCUACCUUGAGGUGAGGAAUACCACCGAGAAAUCGGUGACAAGACCGCAUACGCUCGGGCAACCGAGCAAAGUCAUGCAAAUGACGCCACAAGAUGAGCCUGCGCCUGAUUAGCUGGUUGGUGAGGUAACAGCUCACCAAGGCGACGAUCAGUAGCUGGUCUGAGAGGAUGAUCAGCCACACUGGGAUUGAGAACGGCCCAGACUCCGUACGGGGGCGA